GUGGAGGAAGAUGACGACGACGACGAUGACUUUGAGGAGGAGGAUUUGGGGGAGGAGAUUGAUGAGGAUGUUGAUGACGAGGAUGCUGUUGUGGAGGUGCAUGAUGUACCAAGUAGUGACGAGGAGGAAGAUGGCGUGGAGGAGGAUGAGGAAGAAGAGGAUGAGGACGAAGAUGAUGAAGAAGAGGAGGAGGUUGAGGAUGAAGGUGAAGAGGCGGAGCCACAGAGCAGUGGUAGGGUUGCCAUGAUGACAGGCGAGGAUGAAGGAGAAGAGAUAGAUGGGCAUGAACAUGGAGAAGGGGACGAUGAGGAUGAAAAUGGUGAGAUUGGUGAAGAGGAUGAGGAGGGAUUGGAGGUGGGGAAUGAUGACGACGAAGACGACGCAGA
This 386-nucleotide long non-coding RNA is filed under the name Zea mays. RNAcentral describes it as "long non-coding RNA (ZMAY_LNC004594)". Lineage: Eukaryota; Viridiplantae; Streptophyta; Magnoliopsida; Poales; Poaceae. The record is from RNAcentral.